Molecule: ribosomal RNA, 450 nt
Filed under: uncultured bacterium
Lineage: Bacteria
Description: partial 16S ribosomal RNA
Rfam family: Bacterial small subunit ribosomal RNA
Source: RNAcentral
GUCGAGAAUAAUUCACAAUGGGGGAAACCCUGAUGGUGCAACGCCGCGUGGAGGAUGAAGGUCUUCGGAUUGUAAACUCCUGUCAUCUGGGAGUAAGACCUGACGGUGAAUAGCCGGCAGGGUUGAUAGUACCAGAAGAGGAAGGGACGGCUAACUUCGUGCCAGCAGCCGCGGUAAUACGAAGGUCCCAAGCGUUGUUCGGAAUCACUGGGCGUAAAGGGAGCGUAGGCGGCGUGGUAAGUCAGAUGUGAAAUCACGGGGCUCAACCCCGGAACUGCAUCCGAUACUGCCAUGCUUGAGGGUUGGAGAGGUAGCUGGAAUUCUUGGUGUAGCAGUGAAAUGCGUGGAGAUCAAGAGGAACACUCGUGGCGAAAGCGAGCUACUGGACAAUAUCUGACGCUGAGGCUCGAAGGCCAGGGUAGCGAAAGGGAUUAGAAACCCUGGUAGUCC